UCUCGAGAAUUCUCUGUGUCAACCAUCCUUAUUCGAUGUAUGACUUGCCCCCGGGGUUUCUCCCCUCCCCUGUGUGAUCCUCAGUGGCUUAGCUGUAACCCACGCUCCUCCCUGGGUCCUCGUAAUUGGUAGUGUUCUCUGCUGAGUUAAAUCUUCUUGCUGAGUCUGAUACCUUCUCUUCCAAAGAAAGGAUGCAACAGAGAAAUGAGCAACAGAAACUCCCUGCUAAAGAAAGUGCUCAGACUGCCUGUUGAUUUGGUGUGUGGGAGAUCAGUUCCCAGAUUUAUAAACAAAUGAUGAGGUAAAAGGCAAAGAAAUGGACAGCUGAGUAGCCAUCUAAUAGAUGGACUUAAAAACUGAAUUUAUAAAAGCUGAAGGUGUGAGAGUGCGAGGAGGAAGAAAAAAUGAGCCACGGGAAAACGCUGGAAAGAAGAUUAAAUGGAGAAAAAUAAGAGUGGUUUGUUCUUGUCAAAUGGAAUACAUGAUAGGUGUAUACUUGUUUUCACAAGCAGAUGGUUUCACUUCUUGUAGCAUGUUGUACUGCAAAUUGGAAGUACUUCCAAAUACAGUCAGUGCUGAGAAAAUGCUGGGGUCAUUCACAAGUCAUUAAGUCCUGAGCUGGUGAUACAGCUCCUACACCCUUUUGCAGAGCUCUUACUUCUUUCAGUAGUUGCAGACUUUGUCACACAGUCUGCACAUCCACAAGUGGCAGCAGGACAACUCGAUGUGCCCAGUGACUACCGGAGCAGAGACCAAUCCUGCGGGACCAGUGUGGUGUGGCAACCUUCCCCUUCAAAUGCCAAUUCCUGCCUUACUUAGCAGUUACGACCAUUACUUUCAUACCUCACUCAUGACUAGAUGAGUUCUUCUACAUUUAUAUGUGUUUUUUGUAGCUUUACAGGAUUCCUGCUAUGGUAAUGUCUUGCCAUCUUUAUUGAAUAUAGCAAAUUGCCUUUGUGCCUCUGUUAAUUCAGUGGCCCAGAAGAAAGACUUCAUCCCCUCCAUACCUUCACCAGUGGUAUAAACAAUUAAAUUUCUUUGCAUUUGUCAGACUAUUUGGGGAAAGAAACUUUCAAGGUAAUGCUCAGCUGAUUAAAGAUUAAGUACAAUUUCAUAGCUAUUUCCUGAGAUGAAGUAAACAGAUAGACAAAGGGCUCUUGAGAUAAAGCAGGUGGGAUGUGACAAUCUAAAAGGAAAAAUUCAGUUGUGUCCUGUGGUUCAACAUAUAAAGCACAUGAUUUGAUGGUCCUGAUUUCCCAAAGAGCCUUCUGUUAGGUCUGAUUCUGGCUUUGUUUACCUCUGUUAAGGACGUCAAACCUUUUCUGCGUCCCAAGAAAGAAACAUGGAGGAAUCCCAUUAUUUUUCACAUUUUCCCAUGUGCUUUAUAAACAAACAGCUACAGCCAGGCUGAUAAAUGAAAUGAUAGAGGGGCUGCUUUUUGGUCUGAGGCCAACUGGCAUGGCACAGAUAUAUCCCUCCAGCUGGAUUCUCUGACACCCCCAGAACAGGAUGACUGCACAAAAAUUGCCUGUUGGGGCUCAGCCAACCCCUGAGCUUUAUGCAGGCACUGGGGGGAAGCCUGUGCUGAUAUUGUGACACAGAGCUCACUAAAUGUCAAAAAUUAAAGACAAUUGCAUGCUUUUUGCUUCAGCCUCUACUCUCAGCUUUUUAUUUCCCCCCAAAAAAUAAAGCUAAUUUGGAUGAUUAUUCCCAUUUCAUCCCAAAUACUUCCUUUUCAUUUUAAGAUGUUGCAUAGUAAAAAUUAUAAUGAUUCAGUCUUAGUUCAAGGAUUAAAUACAUUAAAAGAUUUUUUUUUCACCAGAAUUUGUCUUCCUUCCUUGUAUUUUAUGAAAAAAUAUGUAAUUUUUCCCCAAGAAAAGCUUGAACCUGUUACCAGCCAGUCUGCAGAAAUAAUGAAUUCCUAACACAGUAUGACAGUUAUCUUUGCCAAUUAGUCCACCUGAGCGAGUUCAGCUAACAGGUGCAUUUAAGUUCAGUGAGACUGCCUUCAUCACUCAGGGAAGAGGACAGCUAUGUUGGUUUCUGAAUUAGACAUUGGAAAAAACCCAAAAUACCUGGCUCUGUUGCCUAGCUGUCUCUGUGAUUGAAAGCCAGUCCUGCAGAUGCUGGUGCAAAAAGAGUGCCUGUGACUGGGAGUUGCGUGUCUGAACAAAGAAAUGGAAAGCAGUGAAAGAAUCACUAAUCAGUUCCUAUGAACAUUUCUGAUUUUAAAUUUCCUCUUGAGGAAAAAAAAGAAAAUCUUUUCCUGGAUUAUAAUUA
Haemorhous mexicanus (house finch) is the source of this 2280-nucleotide long non-coding RNA. RefSeq lists it as uncharacterized. Lineage: Eukaryota; Metazoa; Chordata; Aves; Passeriformes; Fringillidae. The record is from RefSeq and is a predicted model, not a curated record. The transcript has 3 exons.